CCUACGGGUGGCAGCAGUGGGGAAUAUUGGACAAUGGGCGAAAGCCUGAUCCAGCCAUGCCGCGUAUGUGAAGAAGGCCUUCGGGUUGUAAAGCACUUUCAGUGGGGAAGAAAGCCUUGGGGCUAAUACCCUCGAGGAAGGACAUCACCCACAGAAGAAGCACCGGCUAACUCCGUGCCAGCAGCCGCGGUAAUACGGAGGGUGCGAGCGUUAAUCGGAAUUACUGGGCGUAAAGCGCGCGUAGGCGGUCUGAUAAGCCGGUUGUGAAAGCCCCGGGCUCAACCUGGGAACGGCAUCCGGAACUGUCAGGCUAGAGUGCAGGAGAGGAAGGUAGAAUUCCCGGUGUAGCGGUGAAAUGCGUAGAGAUCGGGAGGAAUACCAGUGGCGAAGGCGGCCUUCUGGACUGACACUGACGCUGAGGUGCGAAAGCGUGGGUAGCAAACAGGAUUAGAUACCCCUGUAGUC
Molecule: ribosomal RNA, 465 nt
Filed under: Vreelandella stevensii
Lineage: Bacteria; Pseudomonadati; Pseudomonadota; Gammaproteobacteria; Oceanospirillales; Halomonadaceae
Description: partial 16S ribosomal RNA
Rfam family: Bacterial small subunit ribosomal RNA
Source: RNAcentral